RNAcentral lists this ribosomal RNA (236 nucleotides) under Escherichia coli. RNAcentral describes it as "partial 23S ribosomal RNA". It matches the Rfam family "Bacterial large subunit ribosomal RNA", at positions 2059 to 2294 of the family's 2925-position model. Lineage: Bacteria; Pseudomonadati; Pseudomonadota; Gammaproteobacteria; Enterobacterales; Enterobacteriaceae. The record is from RNAcentral.
AUGCAGUGUACCCGCGGCAAGACGGAAAGACCCCGUGAACCUUUACUAUAGCUUGACACUGAACAUUGAGCCUUGAUGUGUAGGAUAGGUGGGAGGCUUAGAAGUGUGGACGCCAGUCUGCAUGGAGCCGACCUUGAAAUACCACCCUUUAAUGUUUGAUGUUCUAACGUUGACCCGUAAUCCGGGUUGCGGACAGUGUCUGGUGGGUAGUUUGACUGGGGCGGUCUCCUCCUAAA